GAUGAACGCUAGCUACAGGCUUAACACAUGCAAGUCGAGGGGCAGCAUGGAAGAAGCUUGCUUCUUCUGAUGGCGACCGGCGCACGGGUGCGUAACGCGUAUCAAACCUGCCUCAUACUCGGGGAUAGCCUUGCGAAAGUAAGAUUAAUACCCGAUGUUGUUAUGUUACCGCAUGGUGAUAUAACCAAAGAUUUAUCGGUAUGAGAUGGUGAUGCGUCCGAUUAGGUAGUAGGCGGGGUAACGGCCCACCUAGCCAUCGAUCGGUAGGGGUUCUGAGAGGAAGGUCCCCCACACUGGAACUGAGACACGGUCCAGACUCCUACGGGAGGCAGCAGUGAGGAAUAUUGGUCAAUGGACGCAAGUCUGAACCAGCCAAGUAGCGUGCAGGAUGACGGCCCUCUGGGUUGUAAACUGCUUUUAGUUGGGAAUAAAAAAGAGGACGUGUCCUCUAUUGUAUGUACCUUCAGAAAAAGGACCGGCUAAUUCCGUGCCAGCAGCCGCGGUAAUACGGAAGGUCCAGGCGUUAUCCGGAUUUAUUGGGUUUAAAGGGAGCGUAGGCGGAUUAUUAAGUCAGUGGUGAAAGACGGUGGCUCAACCAUCGUUAGCCAUUGAAACUGGUAGUCUUGAGUGCAGACAGGGAUGCUGGAACUCGUGGUGUAGCGGUGAAAUGCUUAGAUAUCACGAUGAACUCCGAUCGCGAAGGCAGGUGUCCGGGCUGCAACUGACGCUGAGGCUCGAAAGUGUGGGUAUCAAACAGGAUUAGAUACCCUGGUAGUCCACACAGUAAACGAUGUAUACUCGCGGUUUGCGAUACAACGUAAGCCGCCAAGCUAAAGCAUUAAAUAUACCACCUGGGGAGUACUCCGGCAAUGUUGAAAUUCAAAGGAAUUGACCGGGGCCCGCACAACCGGAGGAACAUGUGGUUUUAAUUCGAUGAUACGCGAGGAACCUUACCCGGUGUUGAAUCUAUGUAGUGACUAAUCUAUUGAUAGAUUUUUUCUUUGGACACUCUCGGAAGUGCUGCGUGGUUGUCGUCUGCUCCUGCCGUGAGGUGUCGGCUUAAGUGUCCUAACGAGCUGCCCACCCUUUUCUCCUUGUUUGCUCUCACGGUAUGCCGGCCACCCCCAGGGAUACUGUCAUCUUAAAAUUUGAAGAUGGUGGAGAUCACUUAUAUCACCACUUCCUCUUCCUCUCGUUCUAUCCUCUGUUCCCAUGGCGUGUAACAAAAGCCUUCCCAUGUUGCACAGUUGCUUUUUUUUAAAAACCCUUUCAAUUCGGAU
This 1280-nucleotide ribosomal RNA is filed under the name uncultured bacterium. RNAcentral describes it as "partial 16S ribosomal RNA". It matches the Rfam family "Bacterial small subunit ribosomal RNA", at positions 28 to 1298 of the family's 1533-position model. The record is from RNAcentral.